GACGGGACCGCACAAGCGGUGGAUGAUGUGGAUUAAUUCGAUGCAACGCGAAAACCUUACCUACCUUGACAUGUCUGGAACCUUGCUGAGAGGCGAGGGUGCCUUCGGAGCCAGACACAGGUGCUGCAUGCUGUCGUCAGCUCGUGUCGUGAGAUGUUGGGUUAAGUCCCGCAACGAGCGCAACCCUUGUCAUUAGUUGCCAUCAUUUAGUUGGGCACUCUAAUGAGACUGCCGGUGACAAACCGGAGGAAGGUGGGGAUGACGUCAAGUCCUCAUGGCCCUUAUGGGUAGGGCUUCACACGUCAUACAAUGGUCGGUACAGAGGGUUGCCAAGCCGCGAGGUGGAGCCAAUCCCUUAAAGCCGAUCGUAGUCCGAAUCGUAGUCUGCAACUCGACUACGUGAAGUCGGAAUCGCUAGUAAUCGCAGAUCAGCAUGCUGCGGUGAAUACGUUCCCGGGCCUU
Molecule: ribosomal RNA, 462 nt
Filed under: uncultured Thauera sp.
Lineage: Bacteria; Pseudomonadati; Pseudomonadota; Betaproteobacteria; Rhodocyclales; Zoogloeaceae
Description: bacterial SSU rRNA
Rfam family: Bacterial small subunit ribosomal RNA
Source: RNAcentral